GUCCUUAUAGUAUAACCUAUUACCCUGACCUUGUAAAUCAAAAAUGGACUCACCAGUCCUAAGGACA
RNAcentral lists this transfer RNA (67 nucleotides) under Anomalurus beecrofti (Beecroft's scaly-tailed squirrel). RNAcentral describes it as "tRNA-Thr". The record is from RNAcentral. Lineage: Eukaryota; Metazoa; Chordata; Mammalia; Rodentia; Anomaluridae.